GACGAACGCUGGCGGCGUGCUUAACACAUGCAAGUCACGGGGGCCGGUAGCAAUACCGGUAACCGGCGAACGGGUGCGUAACACGUGAGCAACCUGCCGAUCUGCGGGGGAUAGCCGGCCCAACGGCCGGGUAAUACCGCAUACGCUUCUUGAGGGACAUCCUUCGGGAAAGAAACCUCGGGUAACCCCUGGGGCAGAUCGAGGGGCUCGCGGCCUAUCAGCUAGUUGGUGAGGUAACGGCUCACCAAGGCGACGACGGGUAGCUGGUCUGAGAGGAUGGCCAGCCACAUUGGGACUGAGAGACGGCCCAGACUCCUACGGGAGGCAGCAGUGGGGAAUCUUGCGCAAUGGCCGAAAGGCUGACGCAGCGACGCCGC
This 377-nucleotide ribosomal RNA is filed under the name uncultured bacterium. RNAcentral's name for it is "bacterial SSU rRNA". It matches the Rfam family "Bacterial small subunit ribosomal RNA", at positions 28 to 400 of the family's 1533-position model. The record is from RNAcentral.